This 253-nucleotide ribosomal RNA is filed under the name uncultured bacterium. RNAcentral describes it as "partial 16S ribosomal RNA". It matches the Rfam family "Bacterial small subunit ribosomal RNA", at positions 524 to 776 of the family's 1533-position model. The record is from RNAcentral.
UACGUAGGGGGCUAGCGUUGUCCGGAAUCAUUGGGCGUAAAGAGCGUGUAGGCGGUCCGGUAAGUCCGUUGUGAAAGUCAGGGGCUCAACCCUUGAAUGCCGGCGGAUACUGUCGGGCUAGAGUCCGGAAGAGGCGAGUGGAAUUCCCGGUGUAGCGGUGAAAUGCGCAGAUAUCAGGAGGAACACCAAUUGCGAAGGCAGCUCGCUGGGACGUUACUGACGCUGAGACGCGAAAGCGUGGGGAGCAAACAGG